UACGGAGGGUGCAAGCGUUAAUCGGAAUUACUGGGCGUAAAGCGUGCGUAGGCGGUUUGUUAAGUCUGUUGUGAAAUCCCCGAGCUCAACUUGGGAAUUGCAAUGGAUACUGGCAGGCUGGAGUAUGGUAGAGGAAGGUGGAAUUCCCGGUGUAGCAGUGAAAUGCGUAGAGAUCGGGAGGAACACCAGUGGCGAAGGCGGCCUUCUGGACCAAUACUGACGCUCAUGCACGAAAGCGUGGGGAGCAAACAGG
This 253-nucleotide ribosomal RNA is filed under the name uncultured bacterium. RNAcentral's name for it is "partial 16S ribosomal RNA". It matches the Rfam family "Bacterial small subunit ribosomal RNA", at positions 524 to 776 of the family's 1533-position model. The record is from RNAcentral.